UACGUAGGGUCCGAGCGUUGUCCGGCGUUCCUGGGCGUAAAGCGCGCGCAGGCGGCUCGUCAAGUCUGGCGUGAAAGCCCCCGGCUCAACCGGGGAGGGUCGUCGGAGACUGGCGAGCUUGAGGGCGGUAGGGGCUGGUGGAAUUCCCGGUGUAGUGGUGAAAUGCGUAGAGAUCGGGAGGAACACCCGUGGCGAAGGCGGCCAGCUGGGCCGUCCCUGACGCUGAGGCGCGAAGGCGUGGGGAGCGAACGGG
RNAcentral lists this ribosomal RNA (253 nucleotides) under uncultured bacterium. RNAcentral describes it as "partial 16S ribosomal RNA". It matches the Rfam family "Bacterial small subunit ribosomal RNA", at positions 524 to 776 of the family's 1533-position model. The record is from RNAcentral.